UCCUCAGUGCAGGGUUCCUGGGUGUCAGC
Molecule: non-coding RNA, 29 nt
Filed under: Mus musculus (house mouse)
Lineage: Eukaryota; Metazoa; Chordata; Mammalia; Rodentia; Muridae
Source: RNAcentral